CCUACGGGUGGGCAGCAGUGGGGAAUAUUGGGCAAUGGGCGCAAGCCUGACCCAGCAACGCCGCGUGAAGGAAGAAGGCUUUCGGGUUGUAAACUUCUUUUCUCAGGGACGAAGCAAGUGACGGUACCUGAGGAAUAAGCCACGGCUAACUACGUGCCAGCAGCCGCGGUAAUACGUAGGUGGCAAGCGUUAUCCGGAUUUACUGGGUGUAAAGGGCGUGAAGGCGGGACUGCAAGUCAGAUGUGAAAACCACGGGCUCAACCUGUGGCCUGAAUUUGAAACUGUAGUUCUUGAGUACUGGAGAGGCAGACGGAAUUCGUGGUGGAGGGGUGAAAUGAGGAGAUAUAAGGAGGAACACCAGUGGCGAAGGGGGUCUGCUGGACAGCAACGGACGCUGAGGCGCGAAAGCGUGGGGAGCAAACAGGAUUAGAUACCCGGGUAGUC
RNAcentral lists this ribosomal RNA (444 nucleotides) under uncultured bacterium. Its description in RNAcentral is "partial 16S ribosomal RNA". It matches the Rfam family "Bacterial small subunit ribosomal RNA", at positions 338 to 795 of the family's 1533-position model. The record is from RNAcentral.